RNAcentral lists this ribosomal RNA (476 nucleotides) under uncultured Pseudomonadota bacterium. Its description in RNAcentral is "bacterial SSU rRNA". It matches the Rfam family "Bacterial small subunit ribosomal RNA", at positions 355 to 823 of the family's 1533-position model. The record is from RNAcentral. Lineage: Bacteria; Pseudomonadati; Pseudomonadota.
UGGGGAAUUUUGGACAAUGGGGGCAACCCUGAUCCAGCCAUGCCGCGUGUGUGAAGAAGGCCUUCGGGUUGUAAAGCACUUUCGGACGGAACGAAAUCGCGCGAUCUAAUAAGUCGCGUGGAUGACGGUACCGUAAGAAGAAGCACCGGCUAACUACGUGCCAGCAGCCGCGGUAAUACGUAGGGUGCGAGCGUUAAUCGGAAUUACUGGGCGUAAAGUGUGCGCAGGUGGCUGAGCAAGUCGAGUGUGAAAUCCCCGGGCUUAACUUGGGAAUUGCGCUCGAAACUACUUGGCUCGAGUGUGGCAGAGGAAGGUGGAAUUCCAGGUGUAGCGGUGAAAUGCGUAGAGAUCUGGAGGAACACCGAUGGCGAAGGCAGCCUUCUGGGCCAACACUGACGCUCAUGCACGAAAGCGUGGGGAGCAAACAGGAUUAGAUACCCUGGUAGUCCACGCCCUAAACGAUGAUGACUAGUGUU